Magnolia sinica is the source of this 1867-nucleotide RNA transcript. RefSeq lists it as uncharacterized. NCBI's taxonomy places the organism in Eukaryota, Viridiplantae, Streptophyta, Magnoliopsida, Magnoliales, Magnoliaceae. The transcript is spliced from 10 exons. The record is from RefSeq and is a predicted model, not a curated record.
UAUGUCACGUGUAUCAUUUAUAAGUCCAUGCGUAUCAAGCGUCAUACGCAGCCGGAGUAUCAAAUAACUUCCCCAUAUAAAAACCCCAAAACACGGACAGCCGCCUCCCUAUCCGGCGACAGCCAUGUCUUGCCUUCUCCAAAUCCAUCACAAUCCCCUCCCUUCUCUAAUUUUCACACCCCGCAGAAUGACGAAAAAGCCCCUGUCAAUUCCCAACCAAAGAUACAAAAUGCGAGCCUCGUACCAGCUGAAUCAGGGGCAGUCUCGUCUUUUCCACGAACUCCCCUCCGGCCUGAAGAUGGAGGUGAUAUUCCAGAAGCGUAACGGUACUGGCACAGGUGAGGAGAAACCGCCGCUCGUGUUCGUACACGGGAGCUUCCAUGCAGCCUGGUGCUGGGCCGAGCACUGGAUGCCGUUCUUUUCCGGGUCCGGAUACGAUUGCUACGCCGUUAGUCUUCUGGGCCAGGGUGAAAGUGAUCUGCCUAAUGGGCCAGCAGCUGGUACUCUUCAGACCCAUGCAAGUGAUGUAGCUAACUUCAUUCAGAAGGAAGUUGGGCUACCACCAGUGUUGGUUGGACAUUCAUUUGGAGGACUCAUCGUUCAGUAUUACAUCUCAAAUUUGAUGCCUCAACAUCUCUCAGACAAGCCAUCCAAUUACGAAAGGGUAGGUUUGCACCCAACACUUGCAGGAUCUGUGCUUGUGUGCUCCAUACCUCCUUCAGGGAAUAGUGGGUUGGUAUGGCGAUAUCUAUUGUCGAAACCUAUUGCUGCUUUCAAGGUGACACUCAGCUUGGCUGCAAAAGCUUUCAUGACUUCCUUGCCACUAUGCAAAGAAACAUUUUUCUCGGCAGGAGUGGAUGAUCAUAUAGUCCAGCGUUAUCAGGAGCUAAUGAAAGAAAGUUCAAGGAUGCCGCUCUUUGAUUUGAAGAAGCUUAAUGCAAUGCUGCCUCCUCCUUCAGUGCCAAAAGAUUUUGUGGAAAUACUCAUAAUGGGAGCAAGUGAUGACUUUAUAGUGGAUAUGGAAGGCCUCAGUGAAACGGCCCGGUUUUAUGGGGUGCCGCCAGUCUGCGUGGAAGGGGUUGCCCAUGAUAUGAUGCUUGAUAUGUCAUGGGAGAAAGGAGCUCGGGUAAUCUUAUCGUGGCUAAACAAGUUAAAUAAACAAGCUAUGCAAUGAUUCUUUCAAGGUAUUUGUUUCUCUAUUUCAGCAAAAUUCCCUUUGCUGGUUAAUCUCGUGGUCUUUCUUAUGUAUGUGGAAUAUGAAAAUAUUGGUGGUUCUUGAAAUGCAUUACUAGCAUGAUGAGGUGGUAUGAUUUAUUCUUCUGUAUUAGCAUUCCUUUUUAAAGGAUUGUUUCUUGUUUGGGACACCAUUUGAAACUGUAAACUAAGACAAAGUUGAAUUUUGGUUGUGGGUUAAGUGAGCACAAUUUCAAGGUGGGUGAAGAUCUAACCGAUGUUUUGGACCUGUGAAGUUACUGAAUCUAAAAAUCAGAAAGCUCCUUAUGUGAAUUAGGUAUUAUACACAAAAGAUGGUUUUAAGACAAUCAUUGUGGUGGCUGUGGGUGGCGCGAUAGGCAUGCUAAGGUGCAAUGUGAAGUGUUCAUGUAUUGGUGACAGUCUCAAAGACGAUAGAAGUUCUACAAAGAACACAAGUUGAUUGCCCACGAAUUUAACAGAAAUGAGAAAAGAGGGGAAAAGAAGGGAAAAGAAGGAUAUCUCUAACUAGAGAAAUGCUUGAAAGUAUAGACUCAGUGAAUGAUUUUUUAUUUGAAUAUUGAGGAACUUUUAUUUUGAUCUUGUUUGCCUUGUGUUAUGAUUACAGUAUAUGACUUAGCUAUAUAUUUUUAUAACUUUUCUGUUGUUUUUGUUU